CUGCGUGCCCCUGGGGGGCCAGAGGGGUACCCCGCUCUGCCCACGCGCCCGGGGCCCGCAGUGGCCCCUGCGGGCUACUCCAGAUCCCCAUCCCCAGUAGCACGCGCGAGACGGCCGGGCACGUGGCUCAGGGUCCUCCGCGGCCCGCGCGCGCCCAGCCCAGCCCAGCCCAGCCCCUGCGCUGCCAGCCCGCGCGCGCCCUCCGCGCGAAAACCGGAAAAGGGCCGUUCCCGCGCGCGCCGCCCAGGGACCGCCAAAAAGGCCCGCGGGCGGGCGGACGGGCGGAGUGGAGGCGGCCAGCUGCAACGAGAGAAGCCAGUCGCGCCGCCCACGCCGGCUGCCUCCAGCGCCACGGCGUCCGCGCCCGGCCCCCGGGAGAAGAAAGAGCCUUUACGAGGCGGCGCCACUACUCACCAGGGAAAAGGGAGGGCGGAGCGGGAGACGAGGAGAUCGAGGCGGCAGCGGGAGCCACGGGUCGCACCUGCGGUCGGCGAGCACACGGCCCGGGUCGGCGGCACCGGGGACAGCUCCGCGGGACUCACGACUUAUCCAGGAAGCAGCCGCGGGGGGGCCUCAGCAGCCGAGAAGAAGAAGCACGCAGCGAACGCCGGCAGCCAUCACUCUAGCGGAGCACGCCGCCGGCCCCUACUUAUAGCAGGCGCCGCGACCCGCGUGACCCGCCGCGCCUCGCGCCGGCCCCGGAGCCCCGCCCCCGGCAUGACGCAGCCCUCCUCGGCCCGGCGUGCCCAGCCGGGUGAGCCUGACGGUGGCGCUCAUUGGCCCGGCCCGCGCCGGCGGCCACGCCCCCAGCAGGGAGCCGGUCCACGUGGGGCGGGACAGCCCCCUCCCUGCGGCCUCGCCCUGGAGUCUCCGCACCGUCUGGCCCCGCCGGCUGAUUACCGCCAGAGAGCGAGGGGGACCUCGCCGUCACCCUGGAGGCCGUCAUGCUGCGACAUGACACAGAGGCUGCGACCAAAGUCAUUCCUAGCUCCUCUCUCGGGGCUCUGGAAAGCCGUCCGCGCCUCCAGCCGCACUUUCAGCGCACACAUGACCUGCCGCGCCCGGUGGCCACACCCGUCCCGUCUGCCGGGUGACGCUGCGGGAGAUCUUGCGCCCUGGGGCUCCGGAUCCAGUUCUGGCACGUUGUUGCACCUGUGA
Molecule: long non-coding RNA, 1158 nt
Filed under: Papio anubis (olive baboon)
Lineage: Eukaryota; Metazoa; Chordata; Mammalia; Primates; Cercopithecidae
Description: lncRNA (ENSPANG00000043431.1)
Source: RNAcentral